Equus asinus (donkey) is the source of this 1794-nucleotide long non-coding RNA. The record is from Ensembl. Lineage: Eukaryota; Metazoa; Chordata; Mammalia; Perissodactyla; Equidae.
GGGGCCCCUGCUCAGCCACCAGGGACCAGCAGCCUCUCAACAACAGGCAGUGUGGGGCCACUUCUGAGCCCAGGCCUCCCUCUAGUGACCAGACCGGGGACAACAGCCAAAGGCUCCUGGCCGCUCUCCCGAAUGGACGCCUCUUCCAGAACCUACUUUCCAAGCACUUAUCUGAUCCUGGUUUCUUUUCUUAGAAACUUCAGAAACAGAGCAAAAUCUCUCAAGCUCCCCCCAUGCCUUCAGGGAAAAGAUAAAGCUCAAGCCGUCAGCCUGGUUUAUAAGGCAAAGAAGAGGUCAUGUGAGCACAGUGUGAUGGCAGCCACCUACAAGCCAAGAGAAGAGGCCUCACAAUGAAACCAACCAUGCUGACACCUUGAUCUUGGACUUCCCAGCCUCCAGAACCGUGCCAGAAGGGAGAGUUCAGAAACCGUCCUAGACAUCCAGCCCAGUUAAGCAUUCAGCUGACUCCCACUUCAGCCAUGAUGUUAUCACAUGCAAGACGUGAAGCUACCACCACUGAGCUAAGCCCGGUCAACCCACAGAACCAUGAGAAGUGAUAACCAAUUGCUGUUUCAAGCCGUUAAGUUUUGGAGUGGUUUGUUAGACAUCAGUAAGUACCUGGAAGGCAGGACUCUCUACUAUCAGAACAAAGAGACUAGGGGAAAUCACAAACGAGGAAAGCUAAUGAUUUGACUCUAUGUGAAAUAAUAACCUUUUGUAUGUUAAAUUUAAAAAAUAUAUAUGCAUAUUAAAAGAUAAAAAAAAAAUACCCCAUAAAAUUAGGCUGAGCUGAGUUUGAAUGCUGACUCUGCCACUUUCUUGUUCAGUCACCAUAGUGUGACGUUAGUCUCAUUAAGCCUCGGUUUCCUCAUCUGCAAAAUGGUGAUAAAAAUACUGAAGUUUCUCCCAAAGAGGAAAUAAUGCUUGAAAGGUACCUAGCAUAGUGCCCAGCAUAGAGACACUGUUCAAUAAGUGUCAGCUAAUAUAAUAGGAGGAAGGGCAGGGCCUGGUGAGAAGCUGACACUGUCAGCCAUAAUUACCAGAUGUUCUUAUAAUUUACGAUGCUUGGUCAGUCUUCUUACAGUACUGUGAGCCUCUUGUGCAACGUCUUAGAAACUUGUUUAGAAUCCCCUACAGUGCCCGGAACAGAACAGGAGGGAGUCUCAGAAAAUCAGGUUGUCCCUCUUUUCGUAAUCACCACAGAAUACCUUAUGUUGGGCCUGCCUUUUCUUCUGUACUGCCUACAUCUGGCCCUGAACCUGUCCUUGGUUUGUGGGCCUUUAACCAAAUGACCCCAAUAUCUGCAGCCCUCUCUCCCCUCACCACCCACCCAGACCCCAGCAUCUGAGGCCUUCCGAAGCAGUUGAAAACCUAAGAACUGCUGAGAAUUCCAGACCUGGAGUCAGCAAACUUUUUAUGUCAAGGGUCAGAUAGUAAAUAUUUUGGGCUUUUGGGCCACUUACAGUUUGUGUUCUAAUUCCUCAGUUCUGCCUUCAUAGUUUGAGAGCAACAGUAAGUGAGUGGGCGUGGCCGUGUACCAAUAAAACUUUAUUUAUGGACACUGACGUUUGAAUUUCAUAUCAUUUUCACCCAUCACAAAAUACUCUUCUUUUGAUUUUUUUUAACCACUUAAAAACGUAAAAGGCAUUCUUAGCUCUCAGGCUGUAUAAAAACAGGCAGCAGGGGCUGGCCCAGUGGCACAGCAGUUAAGUUCAUACAUUCCACUCGGGCAGCCCAGGAUUCGCCAGUUUGGAUCCCGGGUGUGGACAUGGCACCACUUGGCAGGCCAUGCUG